This 237-nucleotide unclassified non-coding RNA is filed under the name plant metagenome. Its description in RNAcentral is "partial contains small subunit ribosomal RNA and internal transcribed spacer 1". The stretch from base 1 to 46 matches the Rfam family "Eukaryotic small subunit ribosomal RNA", at positions 1786 to 1831 of the family's 1831-position model. The record is from RNAcentral.
AAGUCGUAACAAGGUUUCCGUAGGUGAACCUGCGGAAGGAUCAUUAAUGAAGUCUGGAACUCCGGCCCUCUCAUCCUUCUACACUACUUGUGGAAUCUUACGACUGUUGCUUUGGCCAGGUUUCCGGAAGGGGCGAAAGCUCUGAACGGUCAGGUCGAAAGGCCGUCCUGGCCAAGGACAUUUAUGCCACCCUUUUGAUUAAUUGUCUGAUUUUUGUUUUAACAAAUUAUAAUAAAA